UACAUUUGAGUGAGUGGCGAACUGGUGAGUAACACGUGGGAAACCUGCCCAGAAGCGGGGGAUAACACCUGGAAACAGAUGCUAAUACCGCAUAACAACUUGGACCGCAUGGUCCGAGUUUGAAAGAUGGCUUCGGCUAUCACUUUUGGAUGGUCCCGCGGCGUAUUAGCUAGAUGGUGGGGUAACGGCUCACCAUGGCAAUGAUACGUAGCCGACCUGAGAGGGUAAUCGGCCACAUUGGGACUGAGACACGGCCCAAACUCCUACGGGAGGCAGCAGUAGGGAAUCUUCCACAAUGGACGAAAGUCUGAUGGAGCAACGCCGCGUGAGUGAAGAAGGGUUUCGGCUCGUAAAACUCUGUUGUUAAAGAAGAACAUAUCUGAGAGUAACUGUUCAGGUAUUGACGGUAUUUAACCAGAAAGCCACGGCUAACUACGUGCCAGCAGCCGCGGUAAUACGUAGGUGGCAAGCGUUGUCCGGAUUUAUUGGGCGUAAAGCGAGCGCAGGCGGUUUUUUAAGUCUGAUGUGAAAGCCUUCGGCUCAACCGAAGAAGUGCAUCGGAAACUGGGAAACUUGAGUGCAGAAGAGGACAGUGGAACUCCAUGUGUAGCGGUGAAAUGCGUAGAUAUAUGGAAGAACACCAGUGGCGAAGGCGGCUGUCUGGUCUGUAACUGACGCUGAGGCUCGAAAGUAUGGGUAGCAAACAGGAUUAGAUACCCUGGUAGUCCAUACCGUAAACGAUGAAUGCUAAGUGUUGGAGGGUUUCCGCCCUUCAGUGCUGCAGCUAACGCAUUAAGCAUUCCGCCUGGGGAGUACGGCCGCAAGGCUGAAACUCAAAGGAAUUGACGGGGGCCCGCACAAGCGGUGGAGCAUGUGGUUUAAUUCGAAGCUACGCGAAGAACCUUACCAGGUCUUGACAUACUAUGCAAAUCUAAGAGAUUAGACGUUCCCUUCGGGGACAUGGAUACAGGUGGUGCAUGGUUGUCGUCAGCUCGUGUCGUGAGAUGUUGGGUUAAGUCCCGCAACGAGCGCAACCCUUAUUAUCAGUUGCCAGCAUUAAGUUGGGCACUCUGGUGAGACUGCCGGUGACAAACCGGAGGAAGGUGGGGAUGACGUCAAAUCAUCAUGCCCCUUAUGACCUGGGCUACACACGUGCUACAAUGGAUGGUACAACGAGUUGCGAACUCGCGAGAGUAAGCUAAUCUCUUAAAGCCAUUCUCAGUUCGGAUUGUAGGCUGCAACUCGCCUACAUGAAGUCGGAAUCGCUAGUAAUCGCGGAUCAGCAUGCCGCGGUGAAUACGUUCCCGGGCCUUGUACACACCGCCCGUCACACCAUGAGAGUUUGUAAC
This 1349-nucleotide ribosomal RNA is filed under the name Lactiplantibacillus plantarum. RNAcentral describes it as "bacterial SSU rRNA". It matches the Rfam family "Bacterial small subunit ribosomal RNA", at positions 82 to 1418 of the family's 1533-position model. The record is from RNAcentral. Lineage: Bacteria; Bacillati; Bacillota; Bacilli; Lactobacillales; Lactobacillaceae.